AACGAACGCUGGCGGCAGGCUUAACACAUGCAAGUCGAACGGACGUAGUAAUACGUUAGUGGCGCACGGGAGAGUAACACGUGGGAACCUACCUUUUGGUUUGGGAUAACGUCGGGAAACUGACGCUAAUACCGAAUAUUCCCUAUGGGGGAAAGAUUUAUCGCCAUUAGAUGGGCCCGCGCUAGAUUAGUUUGUUGGUGGGGUAAUGGCCUACCAAGACUACGAUCUAUAGCUGGUCUGAGAGGAUGACCAGCCGCACUGGGACUGAGACACGGCCCAGACUCCUACGGGAGGCAGCAGUGGGGAAUAUUGGACAAUGGGGGAAACCCUGAUCCAGCCAUGCCGCGUGAAUGAUGAAGGCCUUCGGGUUGUAAAGUUCUUUUGGUGGGGACGAUGAUGACGGUACCCACAGAAUAAGCUCCGGCUAACUUCGUGCCAGCCGCCGCCGUAA
RNAcentral lists this ribosomal RNA (451 nucleotides) under uncultured bacterium. RNAcentral describes it as "partial 16S ribosomal RNA". It matches the Rfam family "Bacterial small subunit ribosomal RNA", at positions 29 to 523 of the family's 1533-position model. The record is from RNAcentral.